Humulus lupulus (European hop) is the source of this 513-nucleotide long non-coding RNA. RefSeq lists it as uncharacterized. NCBI's taxonomy places the organism in Eukaryota, Viridiplantae, Streptophyta, Magnoliopsida, Rosales, Cannabaceae. The transcript is spliced from 4 exons. The record is from RefSeq and is a predicted model, not a curated record.
UUUGCCAUGACCUAGAGAGAGGAUAGAGAGAGAGAGAGAGAGUGGCAAGCUAGAAAGAGAGGAGGAAAAGGCUGCCAUUUUCUAGAGAGAAGGAAGAGGAGAAAAAGAAAAAAAAAGAAGAUAAGGAGAAGAAGAAGAGGGUUUCGAAACCCUAGAUCCCCUAUAGGUGACAAGGUUUUUCUUGCUAAGAGUAUUCUUGAUUCAACAAUCAAGAUAGGCUCGUUGAGAAGUUGAGAAUUUACUUAGCUUGGACCUGAGGUAGCAAAUAGGUUUCUCCAUGGCACGCGUGGUGAUGUGGGAAGUUCUAUCGUCCUGGUGUGUAUGGCGUGGGGCAUCCUAUGGACGAAAAACAAUCACUUAAAGAUGCUAUUUUAAUAAUGUUAUGUUUCAUGAGACUUUUUAAACUAAUCAUUGGGACUUAAAUUAUUGGUUUUUUUUUUUUUUGGAACUUUGCAUAAAAACUCAUAUUUUCUUUUAAAACUAUUGGGCCCAACUUUCAUGUUUUUAAGCAAG